UGCCAGCCGCCGCGGUAAGACGGAGGGGGCUAGCGUCGUUCGGAAUUACUGGGCGUAAAGCGCACGUAGGCGGACUAUUAAGUCAGGGGUGAAAUCCCGGGGCUCAGCCCCGGAACUGCCUCUGAUACUGGUAGUCUUGAGUUCGAGAGAGGUGAGUGGAAUUCCGAGUGUAGAGGUGAAAUUCGUAGAUAUUCGGAAGAACACCAGUGGCGAAUGCGACUCACUGGCACAUUUCUGACGCUGAGGCGCGAAAGCGUGGGGAGCAAACAGGAUUAGAUA
RNAcentral lists this ribosomal RNA (279 nucleotides) under uncultured bacterium. RNAcentral describes it as "partial 16S ribosomal RNA". It matches the Rfam family "Bacterial small subunit ribosomal RNA", at positions 506 to 784 of the family's 1533-position model. The record is from RNAcentral.